GAACUAUGGUCUCAUAGCUCAUCUUGAAAGUGCAGUUGCAGUGAUAUGGUGUAUGCCUAUAGUUCUUUCUGGAACAAGAACUGUAACCAAAGAUGAGAUCGUUCUUCGGGAAGCUUUCGGCCUAUGAAUCACAGUACGUUGAUGAUAUAGUCUUCCUAAAGGUUUUGUAUAAAUCUUCGAGACCCGAUAAAGAUAUUCCUUGGCAUUCCGGAACGUUUUAAAAUCACAGCAGUCUUUGGAAGAAAUAUGGAACUGGAAAGACAGAACAUUCCUCUCCUACCCCCCCUGAAAACUUUCAAGAAGAUGUGAAGAACAAUGGAUAUUAUUUGGAGAAACUACAGAACUUUACGUCACAGACCUGAUGGCAAAUGUUGGUUCAAUGAGAUUUAACAAGAGAAAUCAGUUUGGUUGUUCUUAACGGGAGAGGUAGUCCACACCCUGGUGCUCAUGAUAAUCUAUUACAAGCUAGAGUUUGAAUGACUGGAAAACGAAAUAAGUAGGCGUGGGGGCAUUAUUCGUAAUAUGUCACUGUAGACAAAGUAUCACUCACAAUCUUGAAUUACUGUCGGAUCAAUUUUGUUUUACCGAACAUUAGUCCAUUAAUGGUAUCCAACGAUCAUGGUGAUUCUUCUUGUGUUGUCAAAACGCUAUAAAAAGAAACGGUGAAUACCGUCAUUUAUCUCAUUUUCUGAACAAACUCUGGUAACUGAUAACAGAGUUACAGAUGAACAUAUUUUUGGAUAUGCACGAAUUUCUAAGCAUACUCUGAAAAACGUACUUGUAAUCCAGAAUUAUCUUUUAUUUUUUAUAAGAUGAAUAUGCGUCUUAUGUUCCGUUUUCACUCUCAUGUCACGUCACCAAGAUCUUCAAACUGUUCAUUGUUUAGAUGUAUAUGAUAUAACGACAAAUAAAGGCUGUUGAGCUUCCAGUUAAAAACAUGCAAAGCUUCGAUUUUGCAUUAAAUGUUUAUUGAAUUACCAUAAAAAACCAACAAACAAAUAAAGCAGUGAGUAAACAAGUUGUUAAACUGGUUUAUAGCAGCUG
Long non-coding RNA from Limulus polyphemus (Atlantic horseshoe crab), 1044 nucleotides. RefSeq lists it as uncharacterized. The transcript is spliced from 4 exons. NCBI's taxonomy places the organism in Eukaryota, Metazoa, Arthropoda, Merostomata, Xiphosura, Limulidae. The record is from RefSeq and is a predicted model, not a curated record.